CUCGAAGCUGUAUCCAAAACAAACACUCACUGUCGAGCUGGUUUUGAAGGCAUGUAUCGACUCUGAGGAAUCUGUAGCCCGCAAAUCAUGUGAAUCAGCUUUUCUACGGCAUGACCUUCAUACAGAGACUCCCAGACUCGCCGAUUGGCUCAUAGUUACACAGUUUUCCUGACGAUUGGUUCAUGGGAGUGCGUCAGGUCUCAAUAGAGCCUGAACCUUGUAACCAAGGGGGGGGAAUAAAGUUAGCAGGAAAACUUUGACAAGAGACGCAAAUUUGGAGAUCUGGACAAGUGCACGGUUACACUGGAACUAUGAAAAGUUUCAAACAACGACUUAAGAAAAAUGAGAGCACAGACUGGGGAAAGUAUGAUGAGCGUCUGAUGAAGGCAGCAGAGAAUGGAGAUAUAGAGAAACUCACAGCCACACUCAAGAAAGGAACCAGCCCCACCAAACUAGACCCUGAGGGCCAUUCUGCGUCAGCUGUUUUUAAAGGGGUUGUUAUGCAUUAGGUGUGUCAGGCCUAUGACAGGAUUUCAGUCAUGUCCUGUUUUUGUUAAAGAUUUUGUACCUGCUAACGUUUUUCUGUCAAAAAGAAUAUAUGUAUUUUCUUGCCUGGACCUUUCCAAUAAAAUGGAAUAAGGAAAGUUUUAAUUUUUCCUGUGCAUUUGAUUUUCAUUCCUUUAAGAUUUAAUGUUAUGCUCCACAGUGUUGUCUAUACUCAUUCCUACAUCUGGCUGAUCCUUCUUUUGUCCUCUAUUUCACUUUUCAAAUACCAGCAGUCUUAGUGAUUUAAUAAACACUGAUGCCUCAUGCCUAUUUUGUAUCUAAGCUCAAGGAGUGGCUGCGUCUAUUUUCUGUUGAAACAGGCCUCGGCUGCUAUGUUACUGCAUGUUUCUUUUCAUGUUUUUUGGCUCUUAAUACAUCCUCAUAUAAUAAAUCACUGGUAAACUCACCUAUAUGUUGUUGAUUUUCAUAGAAGUAUGAUAAUAUUAAUUGUCUGAAUAUAUGCACUGAUAUACAUUAUUCAUGUUGCAUUUAAAACCCCUAAACUAAGUUUACUUCAAUAUAUUACAAUUGAAUACUAAUCUAAUCAUGACAAACUAAAUACCGUUGGAAAGAUCCAAGACUUUUAAAUAGAUAUUUUACCACUGUUUGUUGUUAAGUGUUGUAAUGUAGGAGCAGUAAUAGAUUAAUUUAUGACAAGAGUGCACCUCAAAACAUAUACACCAGAACUGGAGCUCUGACCUUUGUCACAAAGAAUCUAUUUGUUUCCUUUUUUCCCAUCACAUGUUUUAGUAUUCAUCAUUUAUAUAAUUUGAAAGCUUAAAACCUCAAAAUUCAUCCUGUGAAAUCGGAUAUUAUGUUACCAUAGAAAUGGUUCUUUAAUAUAUUUCAGCAGGCUCCUCCCCCUUAGUGCAGGGUGUCAUAUUACAUAAGGUAUUAUGGUCUUUUGGAAUCAAAAGUUUUUAGAAUCUUAUUAAGAAUCUUAACAAAAUACAUAUCAUCGUAAAGUCGUAAGUCUCAAGAUUCCAUAAUUGGGGGUUAUUUUGUGAUAGGAAAUGUAUAAGAUCUAUUAAUAAUGUAUAAAAUAUAAGAAAUGUAUACAUUUGUGACAGAGUAAUGCAUAAAAAUGUGGUAUAACGCCGAAACAGAAUAGCAUAGUAACCUAAAUUUUUUAUAUAUCAACUUCAAAUUUGGAACACAACUUAUUUAA
Molecule: long non-coding RNA, 1714 nt
Organism: Carassius auratus (goldfish)
Lineage: Eukaryota; Metazoa; Chordata; Actinopteri; Cypriniformes; Cyprinidae
Exons: 3
Source: RefSeq, a predicted model, not a curated record